RNAcentral lists this transfer RNA (72 nucleotides) under Marmota marmota marmota (Alpine marmot). It matches the Rfam family "tRNA". From Rfam's summary of the family: Transfer RNA (tRNA) molecules are approximately 80 nucleotides in length. Their secondary structure includes four short double-helical elements and three loops (D, anti-codon, and T loops). Further hydrogen bonds mediate the characteristic L-shaped molecular structure. tRNAs have two regions of fundamental functional importance: the anti-codon, which is responsible for specific mRNA codon recognition, and the 3' end, to which the tRNAs corresponding amino acid is attached (by aminoacyl-tRNA synthetases). tRNAs cope with the degeneracy of the genetic code in two manners: having more than one tRNA (with a specific anti-codon) for a particular amino acid; and 'wobble' base-pairing, i.e. permitting non-standard base-pairing at the 3rd anti-codon position. Lineage: Eukaryota; Metazoa; Chordata; Mammalia; Rodentia; Sciuridae. The record is from Rfam by way of RNAcentral. RNAcentral also lists the same sequence under 1 other name.
AGUGUUGUGGUUCAAUGGUAGAAUGCUUCCCUAGCAUGUGUGAGGCAAUGGGUUCAAUUCUCAUCACCACAU